This is a long non-coding RNA of Gopherus flavomarginatus (Mexican gopher tortoise), 4518 nucleotides long. RefSeq lists it as uncharacterized. Lineage: Eukaryota; Metazoa; Chordata; Testudines; Testudinidae. The transcript is spliced from 6 exons. The record is from RefSeq and is a predicted model, not a curated record.
AUGGGUGCAGGUAAAUCGUCAGCGUAAGUGUUCAAUGUGCUUCCUGUGGUACCUGGUUACUGAUACAGUGUUCUGUACAGUGGCUGUAAGGGAACUGCUGCUGACCAUGUCGGUUUGAAAAGAGACAGAAACAGAAGAAUCGCCAGGCUCGUAGCGAUUCACCCGCAUGCCUUGUAAACCUAAUUGCUAUACUCAGGGGUGGCACUGAUCUGCAAGUAAAUCUUGGUCAUAAGCACUUCUCUGGGUUUUCCAUUCAUAUCUCUUUUUUGAAGGGAGAGACUGAAUCUAAGGAUACCCUGGAUUCUGAACGUCUGAAGGUGCCUUAUUAACUAAAACGGAGACAGAAGACAGCAGAUGUGAGAGGGGCUUUCCGAAGCUGCGCUUCCUCUUCUCUCUGACUUCAUCUUUUAUUGCUCCUCUCUUUAUAUACAUAGGCCUGAAGAACCGUUAUGGGCAGGGGGAUUUCUCGAGAUUAGACUUCAGAAUUAUUGGCAGUCAAGUUUUAGAAAAUCAUGGACAUGUUUCCUUAAUAUCUAACUUUUCCUUUUCUCGUGCCAGUGGUAUGUUUCAUGGCAUUUCUGUAGAUUUUGACACGAUCAGCCGUAUAGUAAACCAGAUGAAAUAUGUAAACUGCAAGCUAGCGACUUCUCUCUCUCUCUCUCUCUCUCACACACACACACCUCUUUGUCUUCUCUCAUAGUUUAUGGUGGAAAGCAACACCUACGAUCCCCAUGGUAUGGCUGGGGUGUGAAUGUGGCAGUGCGAUUGAAGUGACGGCCACUGAGAAGGACACGAGUGACCGUCUGUCCUUUGGCUACAGUUGGCGGGAAAUCUGGGGGCAGAGUGCUCGGUGCUUUCAGUCUGCGUCUAUCUUUGCCGCCUCCUUCCCAUCUCCCUGCAGCCACAUUUCCAUACGGGAUACUCAUCUGUGGGGGGUUUUUUCUCGUUACUUUGCCCCUCCCCCGCCCACCUCCCCUCGUCACAAAUACCCAGCCGUGCCCACAGACACACACUUCACCCACACACUUCUUGACACCCACACAUUCAAUAAAGCGACUCACCACCAUAGAGAAAACACACGUAUCCAUGCACAGAUACAUUCUACAAACACGCCCACCCAAAGACAUAUUUACACACACACUCUUCCCCAUCAACACACAGCCUUGCACACAGACAUUCCUACGAACACACACCCUAUACAAAGGUUCUAACAGCCUUCCUUCACAAACACACCUUUUAAACACAGACACACGUUCUCAUUCUCGCAAACGCCCAUGCUUCUACACGGUGAGUCCUCACAGUCUCACUAGUACAUGCCCAUAUCUGUACACACACAAUAAUACCAGACCUUCUUUCUUUCUAUGUUCUCCACAGGCUCAAACCCCCCCCCCCCAACUUUUUAAAACACCCCCCUUCUAGCUCUCUCUUUGCAAUGGCUCCCACUAAGCUCCAUAAAUCCCUCCUAAAAUCCAUUUACUAAAACUGUCGAUGCUGUCCCCCUUGUUUUGAGUCCAGAGCACUGAAAAACAAAACCAGCCCUCCUUCCAGAAAUCAAUGAGCUGACGAGAGGUCCCUCUACAAGUUUGCAAGUGAAAGAGGUUUUGGUUUCAUUUUGUUUUGACUUGGAGAAAAGUCCCACAUAAUGGCAAUGCCUCCCGAAACAAGACGCAGAAGAAACUGUUCCUCAAAAGUUAACUGGAUGAAAACGCUCUAGAAAACGCAACUUCUUGGGGCAAUUUUUGUAAGUUUCCAAAGAAAUGAGUGCUUCCCUCCUACUAUAGGACAAUGUAGCCAUUGCUCUUCUUUAGACUAGACAUUUCUAAUUUGUUCCGUCUGUCAGAAGGGGACUAUGAGAGGGUUUGGUGCAAAUUCAUUAUCUCUGGCAACGCAUAACGUAUAGUAGGAACUGAAAAAGACCAUGGCAAUGGAUGAACAAUAGGGCUUCAGUUCAUCAGCAACAAAAGCGUUGGGGAAAUUGGUUGAAUUUCAGAGCACGUCCUCCUAAGCAGAGAGGGCUGGACUAGACCUUGGCCAAACCCCCCAAAAAACUUGCAAAGCCUCACGUACAACACUUCACUUUCUACUCUGGGGCUUAGGAAGCAAUAUGGAAGAAAAAAAACUUUUUUUUUCUAUUUCUUCCGUUUUUCUGGAUAGAAGCUCUUUCUACUUAUUUUAAAACGAACCAUGCAAGAAUUAUACCAUGGAACUAAGCUGCAGUUUCAAAUAAAGGUGAUGAUCUGCAUUUCUGGAGACGUGAAGGAACCCGCUGUCCAUGUUUUAAGGGGGGCUUAACCGUGGAAUCUUUGUUUGCAGCCGGAGAUUCAGCCCUUACAUCUAGAUCGGGGGGUCAAAUGUUUCUUAUAAGAAAAAAAAAUUCAGAAGAAGGAUCACAAGGGAUGACGAUCAUCAAGAAAUGAGUAGAAGAUGGCUUGUGACUAAUGUUGUAGAGAAGAAUGACUGAAAUGACUGUUUGGAAUUAUUCUGGAUUAGGCUAGAAUGAAGUCUCCUCUGCCAAUCUAAGGGCCUCUUUCCACAAACACACGUGAGAGAAACUUUAUUUAUAUGAAUAGUUCACUUGAGAUCAACUGGGACUAGUCACGAAAAAUGAAGUUUAGAACUGAUUCUUGACAUGUGAUGCACAUUUGUCAGGAGGUCAAGGUGAAUCAGAAUAAACAACUUCAAGAAAAUGCCAAAUUCAAGAAAAUAAAAGUAGCUUAAUAUGAUUUAAUACCAUUAAAGUGGUUAAGAUGAAAUUUCUUAAACUCUUUUUUGGAGGCUGGUUAUCAAUGACAUGGAUUUCUGAGGAACAAUUCCAGAGAUUUGCCUGAAUGAAAUAUGCUGAAACCAAAAAGAAAAGCUUGGUCUUUAUUAUCUAUGUUACAGAUUAGCUUGAAGGAAAUAAUUAUUACCAAUCUGUACCAUAACAGCUGUACUUAAAUGAAAUGUAACAUUUAAGGUUUGUGGAGCAGAGGAUGUUUUUUUGUUCUGGGCCUGUACAGCAUGCAGCACAAUGAGGUUCUAAUCCAUGAUUGGGGAUCCUAGAUGCUCCCAUAAAAUAAAUAAUAAUAUAUUAAUAAUAAUAUUUAUUUUAUUUGGGUUAUUGAUUUAAUUUUAUUUUUGAUAAUUUAUCAUUAUCUCUUGGAGCUAAACUGUCAAUGGCUCAUUUAUCAGAUGUGCCACUCCCAAUGCAUAUGUAGUCCUAAGGCCUGAUUCUCAACUUGUAGAAAUAUAAGGCCCCAAUCUGGUAGUCAGAUCUGUGGGAACAGUACCUGGGGACUGUGCAGAGCCCACUGAUUUCAGCGCAGGUCCAGGCAGGCAUAAUUGUCAACCCACACAGAGCUGAUUGCAGGAAAGCAGCCUUGAAACAGAAGUGACUCUGCUGAAGUCAGAUGGAGUUAGACCUAGGUAAAACAGUGAUGUGAGCAAAAGGAGAAUAGGACCUAUAACACACACUCAUGUGCACAUUCAGUCAAAGAAAUAAAACAUCUGCACGUGUAACCCACACACCUUCUGGCUGUGGUGUUCUAGCCAAUCCAGUGGCACUGAGACCACUUAAAGAGAGAGGUAAAAUGAGUCUGCUCUACAGCCUUAGCUAAGAGGAAGUUGGCUUUUAGCUCAUGUGAUAGAGGCUCAUGCACUAAGCUCCACAGGUCCCAGGUUCAUUUCUGCCCACUGAUGACCAGAGUCUGUUGGCGUUACACAUGCAUAUGCACCUGAGGGAUAUGUAAUGGGUGGUGGACAUUUUGUGUCCUUCACCUGUUGCACUGGGCUUUGAAAAUAUGGCCCAUUUUAAUCAGUCCAGUAGUUUAGACAUCUGUUAGGUGUAAUUAGCAAAGAGAUAUCAAGGACAUUGAAGUUGGUUCAUUAGAAACCUUUUCAUUUUUUAUAAUUUUAAAAUGGUAAUCAACAGGGAAAAACAUACCAGAUUAUUGCUUAUAGGUGAAGUGUGACUUUUCCAAUAUUUUAAGAUUAUAUUUUAUUAGUUCAAGAAAAAUAUGAUUAUAGAAAAUAUAUAUUUACCACUUCUUAAAAGAUUUUGCAGAAUUUUCUGUCUUCCCUCUGUUUCUUUCACAUUAUAUUUUACCUUUUCUGGUAUUUAUGCUUUUUGUUUCACAUGUUCAGCAAUCACAAUAUAUCUUAUACUCAUGGUUUUCAAUCAAAAUAUAUUUAAAAUUGCAUUUAAUAAAUACCUUUAAAAUAGUGUUAACAGAAUUUUAUUUUUGUUGAUAUUUCUGGCUUCACUAUAUGUUGAAAUUAAUUGGUUUGUUAGGGGUCAAUCCUACAUUCCUAAUUCAAGAUAAAACUUCCAUUGAAAUCAAUGGGAAGCCAAUUGUCUUGAUAUGAAUUUCAAGGUUGAGCCUUUAACUUAGUUUUAUGAGUGUAACAGAGCCUUAAAUAAUUUUUCUUACCAUUGUUUGGCUGAACAUUUUUUCCACCAGUCUAGUUUAACUGGUGGUGUAAUUAAUAUGUAUAAUUCCAAAUUUUGUAAUAAAAUAAACUGCAUAUAUUGUUAAGACA